This 530-nucleotide ribosomal RNA is filed under the name uncultured eukaryote. RNAcentral's name for it is "SSU rRNA". It matches the Rfam family "Eukaryotic small subunit ribosomal RNA", at positions 746 to 1269 of the family's 1831-position model. The record is from RNAcentral.
AUGAGGUUACCUGGAAAAAAUCGGGGCGAUCUAGGCGGGCGAACCUCGCCAACGAACGAUCGGACAUGGGAUAACGGAAGAGGGCGUCGGCUCGACUUCGUCGGUUCCUCGGGCCGAGGCACGUACGGUGAAUAGGGACGGUCGGGGCCGCCCGUACCGGGUCGUGAGAGGUGAAAUUCUAGGAUCGACCCGAGACGAACUGCCGCGAAAGCAUUCGGCAAGGACGCUUUCAUUAAUCAAGAACGAAAGUCGGGGGAUCGAAGACGAUCAGAUACCGUCGUAGUCCCGACCGUAAACGAUGCCGACCGAGGGCCCGGAGGAGUUACGUACGACCCUCCGGGCCCUCCCGCGAGAAAUCAGGAGUAUUCGGGUUCCGGGGGGAGUAUGGUCGCAAGGCCGAAACUUAAAGGAAUUGACGGAAGGGCACCACCAGGAGUGGAAUCUGCGGCUUAAUUUGACUCAACGCGGGGAAAACUCACCAGGUCAGGACACGGUAAGGAUUGACGGACUGAAGGCUCUUUCUCGAUUCC